Molecule: ribosomal RNA, 418 nt
Filed under: uncultured prokaryote
Description: partial 16S ribosomal RNA
Source: RNAcentral
CCCUACGGGGUGCAGCAGGCUACAAAGGGUCCAUGAGAAACGGGUACGAGGAUGCCCUCUUGAAGCUCGGAUCGUUGAUGAAGGAGUGCAAUGUAAAAAAGCGUUCAGUCAACCUGAUUGGCCUUUGCCCCGAUGAUUUCAAGGUCCAUGCGGAUUUGAAGGAGAUAAAGAGGAUCAUAGAAGCUCUGGGUAUCGGCGUGAACAGCACGAUAUCGAUGUGCAGCCUCGAAGAAUUUUGUGCUGCUCCUGCUGCGGAGCUGAACGUCGUGAUGGGUCAGGGAGCAAAAUUGGCAAAAUAUAUGAAAAACGAAUUCGGCGUACCCUAUAUCGAGGUCGAUUAUCCCUACGGCCUUGAGGGAUCUAUGAAGUUUACGGAGGCGUUAUGCGGGAAUCUGGGCGUGGAAUACGGCGGGAGAGC